UCAAGGAAUUCAUUGCUUAUAUCAUCGUCUUUAUUUUUUUAAAAAAACCUUGCAACUUCGAACUAUAUAAUUCACAUCUAUCGGGUCCUGGUACUUCUGAACUCCCUCACCGUAGCCGACCCCCGCGAUUGUGAAAGACCGCCGCCCUGCUCGUCGUGUUCCGUCGUGGCCACCUUGGUUCGUCGGAGCUUUUCGUCGUGCCCAUCGGUUUGAUCAGUUUAGUUCUUCGAUCAGGAUCAGCCGCUACUCAGACCGUUGCAGCCGCACUCCGUCUUCGAUCGAGCCCCGUCGUCACGUUACUCCACCGUGUUCAGGCCAGAGCCGUUGCUACUGCUCGACUCGUUUCGUUUGAUCACCUGGAGCUCUAGUUUCUUUUUCUUUUUGUCUCCGGUUAGCUCCGUUUGCGUUUAAGGCGUUUGUGACUGUAGAGGAAAACUUGAUUAUUGGUUUUGCUUGUGUGCUAAUAAGUUAUGAUAUGUAAUUUGGGAAUCAUGGGGAAUAAGUGAAGAGUGUCGUGAAGAUAAAGAUUUUUUUUUUCGGUGAUGUAAUGAAAAUGUGUCACACCCCAACCGAUGGCGGAAUCAUCGGGGCGCGGCACUGAGCGAAACAGAUUGUCCAGAAGUUUCCACAACAACUAUUAUUACAAAUUCAGUUAAAUGAUACGUCCCAUACCGUAUCC
RNAcentral lists this long non-coding RNA (679 nucleotides) under Helianthus annuus (common sunflower). RNAcentral's name for it is "sRNA HanXRQr2_Chr12g0560391". The record is from RNAcentral. Lineage: Eukaryota; Viridiplantae; Streptophyta; Magnoliopsida; Asterales; Asteraceae.